RNAcentral lists this ribosomal RNA (468 nucleotides) under uncultured bacterium. RNAcentral's name for it is "partial 16S ribosomal RNA". It matches the Rfam family "Bacterial small subunit ribosomal RNA", at positions 28 to 507 of the family's 1533-position model. The record is from RNAcentral.
GACGAACGCUGGCGGCGUGCUUAACACAUGCAAGUCGAACGGAAAGGCCCUGCUUUUGUGGGGUGCUCGAGUGGCGAACGGGUGAGUAAUACGUGAGUAACCUGCCCGUGACUUUGGGAUAACCUCAGGAAACUGGGGCUAAUACCGGAUAGGAGCUCCGGCGGCAUGGUGGGGGUUGGAAAGCUUCGGCGGUUGGGGUUGGACUCGCGGCUUAUCAGCUUGUUGGUGGGGUAGUGGCUUACCAAGGCUUUGACGGGUCGCCGGCCUGAGAGGGUGACCGGCCACAUUGGGACUGAGAUACGGACCAGACUCCUACGGGAGACAGCAGUGGGGAAUAUUGCACAAUGGGCGGAAGCCUGAUGCAGCAACGCCGCGUGCGGGAUGACGGCCUUCGGGUUGUGAACCGCUUUCGCCUGUGACGAAGCGUGAGUGACGGUAAUGGGUAAAGAAGCACCGGCUAACUACGUA